This is a long non-coding RNA of Pezoporus occidentalis (night parrot), 977 nucleotides long. RefSeq lists it as uncharacterized. The transcript has 3 exons. The record is from RefSeq and is a predicted model, not a curated record. NCBI's taxonomy places the organism in Eukaryota, Metazoa, Chordata, Aves, Psittaciformes, Psittacidae.
UUGUGAGAGAUGAAUUGAGAGGCAUUCUGUAGUGAAACCCUGGAAGGGGUAUUUGAGGUGGGAAAUCACAUGCAACUUUCUAGGUGCAGGCACUUCAAAAGAUCCAGCUUAAUGGGGGAGAGUACUUUGAAACUAAUUCAGAAGUUUCAUAUAUAGUCAAGUAAUUUAAUUCCAAUGUAAGCAUAAAGGCUGUAAUUGUGUCUUUCCUUUUAUAUUUCAAUUUUUGCUCCAGGGUUUUGCUAGAAUGGCAUCAGAGAUAGGGUGUGAGAAAAGUCAAGACUGGGGAUCUGCUGGUUUUGGAGGUGUAUUUAAGGUGGAGUGGAUCCGAAAAGAAAGCAUUCCUUUCCAGUUUGCACACCAUUUGCUCAACCCUUGGAAUGAUAAUAAGAAAGUACAAAUAAGCAGGGAUGGCCAGGAACUGGAGCCACAGGUUGGAGAGCAGUUGCUACAGCUUUGGGACAGUAUUCCUUUGAAUAGGAAUAAAGGAAAAAACUCAACUGAUUGAGCACGUCAAGUAAUGUGAUAGAGCUGUCGUGGUUGAAACAUCAGAUAUAACUACUAGAACCAGUAGCAAGCCUGCAGUAUGAAGAUGAGGAAGAAGGUGGCACAACAAGCUCCAGAAGUUGUUAGUCAUGCUGUGAAGCUAGUAGAGGAAAAAUAAGGGGAAUUAUGUUGGUUUCAGUAUUUCCUUGUCUUAACAAAUGUCCUGAUGUUAUUCACCAGCCUAGUUUUGACUGAAUUAGUUUUUUUAUAGUAGCAUGCAAUUGAUAUUUAAAAACACAUUUAAAUUCCAAACUGAGUUUGAAACAGUGGACCACAUGGAAGUUGUCUGUGGGUUUAAAAUAGCACAGCAGACAGUUUAAAUAUACAGUUUACAUUUAAAGCUUUCUCAACACAAUAAAAUCUGUGAGAGAAACUAGUGUAAUGUGAAUUAAUCAAUCUUGCAGUUUGCUUAAAAUAAAUAAAUUGAGAAUACA